RNAcentral lists this long non-coding RNA (252 nucleotides) under Elaeis guineensis (African oil palm). RNAcentral describes it as "long non-coding RNA (EGUI_LNC003121)". The record is from RNAcentral. Lineage: Eukaryota; Viridiplantae; Streptophyta; Magnoliopsida; Arecales; Arecaceae.
AAUAACACAAGCCCUCAACAUAUUUUUCAAGGUCUAAAUAGUUCUUUUUAACUGGCCAUCUAUUUGAGGGUGAAAAGCCACACUAAAGUUGAAUUUUGUUUCCAAUGCUAAAGUUUCAAAAUUGAGAUACAAAUCUAGCAUCUCUAUUUGACACUAUAGUCACUAGGACUCUAUGCAAUCUUACAAUGUCCUUGAUGUAUAGCCUCAUCAAUUUCUCAAGUGAAUAGCUAACUUUGGUUAACUUUGAAAGCC